This 252-nucleotide ribosomal RNA is filed under the name uncultured bacterium. Its description in RNAcentral is "partial 16S ribosomal RNA". It matches the Rfam family "Bacterial small subunit ribosomal RNA", at positions 524 to 776 of the family's 1533-position model. The record is from RNAcentral.
UACGGGGGGGGCAAGCGUUGUUCGGAAUUACUGGGCGUAAAGGGCUCGUAGGCGGCCAACUAAGUCCGACGUGAAAUCCCCAGGCUUAACCUGGGAACUGCGUCGGAUACUGGAUGGCUUGAAUCCGGGAGGAGGAUGCGGAAUUCCAGUGUAGCGGUGAAUGACGUAGAUAUCAGGAGGAACACCGGUGGCGAAGGCGGGUCGCUGGCGGCAUACUGACGCUGAGGAGCGAAAGCGUGGGGAGCGAACAGG